AGACCCGAAACCCGGUGAUCUAGCCAUGGGCAGGUUGAAGGUUGGGUAACACUAACUGGAGGACCGAACCGACUAAUGUUGAAAAAUUAGCGGAUGACCUGUGGCUGGGGGUGAAAGGCCAAUCAAACCGGGAGAUAGCUGGUUCUCCCCGAAAGCUAUUUAGGUAGCGCCUCGUGAAUUCAUCUCCGGGGGUAGAGCACUGUUUCGGCUAGGGGGCCAUCCCGGCUUACCAACCCGAUGCAAACUGCGAAUACCGGAGAAUGUUAUCACGGGAGACACACGGCGGGUGCUAACGUCCGUCGUGAAGAGGGAAACAACCCAGACCGCCAGCUAAGGUCCCAAAGUCAUGGUUAAGUGGGAAACGAUGUGGGAAGGCCCAGACAGCCAGGAUGUUGGCUUAGAAGCAGCCAUCAUUUAAAGAAAGCGUAAUAGCUCACUGGUCGAGUCGGCCUGCGCGGAAGAUGUAACGGGGCUAAACCAUGCACCGAAGCUGCGGCAGCGACACUCAGGUGUUGUUGGGUAGGGGAGCGUUCUGUAAGCCUGUGAAGGUGGCCUGUGAGGGUUGCUGGAGGUAUCAGAAGUGCGAAUGCUGACAUAAGUAACGAUAAAGCGGGUGAAAAGCCCGCUCGCCGGAAGACCAAGGGUUCCUGUCCAACGUUAAUCGGGGCAGGGUGAGUCGACCCCUAAGGCGAGGCCGAAAGGCGUAGUCGAUGGGAAACGGGUUAAUAUUCCCGUACUUGGUGUUACUGCGAAGGGGGGACGGAGAAGGCUAUGUUGGCCGGGCGACGGUUGUCCCGGUUUAAGCGUGUAGGUGUGUGUUCCAGGUAAAUCCGGUUCACUUUAACACUGAGGCGUGAUGACGAGGCACUACGGUGCUGAAGCAACAAAUGCCCUGCUUCCAGGAAAAGCCUCUAAGCAUCAGGUAACAUCAAAUCGUACCCCAAACCGACACAGGUGGUCAGGUAGAGAAUACCAAGGCGCUUGAGAGAACUCGGGUGAAGGAACUAGGCAAAAUGGUGCCGUAACUUCGGGAGAAGGCACGCUGACACG
RNAcentral lists this ribosomal RNA (1050 nucleotides) under Salmonella enterica. Its description in RNAcentral is "partial 23S ribosomal RNA". It matches the Rfam family "Bacterial large subunit ribosomal RNA", at positions 711 to 1758 of the family's 2925-position model. The record is from RNAcentral. Lineage: Bacteria; Pseudomonadati; Pseudomonadota; Gammaproteobacteria; Enterobacterales; Enterobacteriaceae.